GAUGAACGCUGGCGGCGUGCCUAACACAUGCAAGUCGAGCGAAGCAUUUUAAAGGAAGUUUUCGGAUGGAAUUUGAAAUGACUGAGCGGCGGACGGGUGAGUAACGCGUGGGUAACCUGCCUCAUACAGGGGGAUGACAGUUAGAAAUGACUGCUAAUACCGCAUAAGCACACAGUACCGCAUGGUACAGUGUGAAAAACUCCGGUGGUAUGAGAUGGACCCGCGUCUGAUUAGCUGGUUGGCGGGGUAACGGCCCACCAAGGCGACGAUCAGUAGCCGACCUGAGAGGGUGACCGGCCACAUUGGGACUGAGACACGGCCCAAACUCCUACGGGAGGCAGCAGUGGGGAAUAUUGCACAAUGGGGGAAACCCUGAUGCAGCAACGCCGCGUGAGUGAAGAAGUAUUUCGGUAUGUAAAGCUCUAUCAGCAGGGAAGAAAGUGACGGUACCUGACUAAGAAGCC
This 464-nucleotide ribosomal RNA is filed under the name uncultured bacterium. RNAcentral's name for it is "bacterial SSU rRNA". It matches the Rfam family "Bacterial small subunit ribosomal RNA", at positions 28 to 492 of the family's 1533-position model. The record is from RNAcentral.